CAAUUAUGUAAAUAGUGUAACUAUAAAAACAUGUUUAAAAAAAAAAAAAAAAAAAUGACUUAUUUUACUUUUUUAUGUUUUAAAAAAGUCUCCAAGUUGUGUUAUAAAUAGUUUUGAAUAGUUGAAUAAAUAUUUCUUGAUUAAAAGCAAAAUUUAAUAAAAAUUGUAUAAAAAACAUUUUACAAUUAUUUAUCACUAUUUGCAUAACACCAAUGGGAUGUACAUUUUUGAAUAUAAUACAUUAACAUGUAAAUAAAUAUUUUUUAAGACUGACUCUUUGAAAAAACAUUUUGGAAAAACAAAUCUAUCAUAUGUUAAAGUCAAAUUUACUAAUAUUCAAUUAUAGUUUGAAACAGAAAGCAUAUUAUUAUUUAGUAUUUAUGUUUACACUAUUAAUAAUAGUUUACAGUUUGUAUCCCUUAAAAUAAGUACUAUUAUAAAGUAUAGUUCCACUUUUUUUUCUGUAUAUGCAUAAGAUAAUUUACAUAAUUUACAUAAUUUUGAUGUUGUGUGUAUAUUGUAGUUAUUUUAGGGCUUUUUGAAAUUAUUAUAUAUUAUAACUAUUGUGAUUUGUAUUUAAAUAAAUUUGCCCCUAUUAUAUUUAUUAGGUUACAAAAAUUUCAAUUUUUCAAAUAGAAUAAAUUGAUGAGCCAAGUUAAAAAUAAUUUAUGUG
Molecule: non-coding RNA, 673 nt
Organism: Cinara cedri
Lineage: Eukaryota; Metazoa; Arthropoda; Insecta; Hemiptera; Aphididae
Source: the annotation of a GenBank genome assembly